GGAAAAGAAACCAACAGGGAUUGCUCUAGUAACGGCGAGUGAAGCAGCAAUAGCUCAAAUUUGAAAUCUGGCGUCUUCGACGUCCGAGUUGUAAUUUGUAGAGGAUGCUUCUGAGUAACCACCGACCUAAGUUCCUUGGAACAGGACGUCAUAGAGGGUGAGAAUCCCGUAUGCGGUCGGAAAGGUGCUCUAUACGUAGCUCCUUCGACGAGUCGAGUUGUUUGGGAAUGCAGCUCUAAAUGGGAGGUAAAUUUCUUCUAAAGCUAAAUAUUGGCCAGAGACCGAUAGCGCACAAGUAGAGUGAUCGAAAGAUGAAAAGCACUUUGGAAAGAGAGUUAAAAAGCACGUGAAAUUGUUAAAAGGGAAGGGAUUGCAACCAGACUUGCUCGCGGUGUUCCGCCGGUCUUCUGACCGGUCUACUCGCCGCGUUGCAGGCCAGCAUCGUCUGGUGCCGCUGGAUAAGACUUGAGGAAUGUAGCUCCCUCGGGAGUGUUAUAGCCUCUUGUGAUGCAGCGAGCGCCGGGCGAGGUCCGCGCUUCGGCUAGGAUGCUGGCGUAAUGGUCGUAAUCCGCCCGUCUUGAAACACGGACCAAGGAGUCUAACAUCUAUGCGAGUGUUCGGGUGUCAAACCCCUACGCGUAAUGAAAGUGAACGGAGGUGAGAACCGCAAGGUGCAUCAUCGACCGAUCCUGAUGUCUUCGGAUGGAUUUGAGUAAGAGCAUAGCUGUUGGGACCCGAAAGAUGGUGAACUAUGCCUGAAUAGGGUGAAGCCAGAGGAAACUCUGGUGGAGGCUCGCAGCGGUUCUGACGUGCAAAUCGAUCGUCAAAUUUGGGUAUAGGGGCGAAAGACUAAUC
This 855-nucleotide ribosomal RNA is filed under the name Cladosporium sp. CPC 15513. RNAcentral's name for it is "eukaryotic LSU rRNA". It matches the Rfam family "Eukaryotic large subunit ribosomal RNA", at positions 55 to 936 of the family's 3401-position model. The record is from RNAcentral. Lineage: Eukaryota; Fungi; Ascomycota; Dothideomycetes; Cladosporiales; Cladosporiaceae.